This is a non-coding RNA of Calypte anna (Anna's hummingbird), 87 nucleotides long. The record is from Rfam. NCBI's taxonomy places the organism in Eukaryota, Metazoa, Chordata, Aves, Apodiformes, Trochilidae.
UCUGGCAGUGACAACACACUGAGCCCUCACUGAGCUCAGAGUUCCCUGAUGAGAGCAGCAAAAUGUGCUCAGUGGAUCCCAGCCAGC